RNA transcript from Olea europaea var. sylvestris, 2547 nucleotides. It is a transcript of the gene named NAC domain-containing protein 82-like, with no coding region annotated. Lineage: Eukaryota; Viridiplantae; Streptophyta; Magnoliopsida; Lamiales; Oleaceae. The record is from RefSeq and is a predicted model, not a curated record. The transcript has 7 exons.
CAAGAUACCUGGCCACAUGCGCAGUAACUUCAAUUCAUCUCUCUAUUUUCUCUCACUAAACCCCCAAAUUCCUCUAUAUAAACCCCAAGGCUCAGCUGGCAUAAUUUCGUUUCACAUAUUUGGACUCAGCGUUGUUCCGAGUCGUCUCUCUCAUCUCCGUUCUAGGAUUGGUAUUGAACACCAGAUGUCUUUUGAUUCUUGCAAGAAACAUCAGUGGUUUGCGUGGGGUGCUUUCUGCUUCAUGAACCGGCGGAGGAUUUGGUGCUUCCAAAAGUUGUUGUUUCGGCAUUGGAAUUGACAAUAGUGGUUUAUUGUUUGAGGGUUUCUGGCUUACAUACAUGUUCUUUGUCUACUUUUCGGUACAGACUGCUUUUUAUUCUUAGGGAGAAGUGUUCGGUGUGGAUAGAGUAAGGUUUACGAAUAUAUUAAAGUUCUUCUUCAGUAUUGUUCAACAACUGGGAAUUCUGUGGUCAAUUGUCAUUCUACGAUGGGUCGGAUCUCACUUCCUCCAGGAUUUCGGUUUCAUCCAACUGAUGUUGAGCUAGUUAUGUACUAUCUUAAGCGGAAGGUUAUGGGAAAGAAGCUUCAUUUUGAAGCUAUCACAGAGGUCAACAUUUAUAAGUUCUCUCCAUGGGAACUACCGGAUAAAUCUUGCUUGAAAAGUAAGGAUCUAGAGUGGUUCUUCUUUUGCCCAAAAGAGAAGAGGUAUGCAAGCGGGGUUAGAGUGAAGCGCAGUACUGAAAAUGGAUACUGGAAAACCACAGGGAAAGAUAGACCUGUUUUUCACAAUAAUAACAUUGUGGGAAUGGUGAAAACCUUGAUUUUUCACCUUGGUCAUGCACCCCAAGGGCAAAGAACUGAUUGGGUCAUCCAUGAGUUCAGAAUCCUAGACAAGCAGUUGGCUGAAGUAGGAAUUCAGGACUCUUACGUGCUCUGUAAAGUCUUUGAGAAGAAGGGUCCAGGCCCAAAAAAUGGAGCACAGUAUGGAGCACCAUUUAAUGAAGCAGAAUGGGACAAUGAUGAUGAAACACUGAUAUGCUCUGGAUAUUUCCCGUCUCAUGAUCCAUCCGUUUCUGCAUCAACUUUACCUCAAAAUUGCAGUUCUUCUGUUAAAACAAGCAUGGUCGUUCCUGGAAGUACGUUGGAAUCAUCUUUGAUUGAAGCGGGUCCAUCUUCUGUCAGGCCUUCUGCUAGCGACUUGGUUCUGAAUGAGUCAGAUGAUGAUAUUGUUCAUUUGCUGGCCCCAUUUACAGCUCACAGCAUGUUGAAUUUUAGCGAGAAAAGAAAUCGUGAGUAUCAUGAUAAUGACGAGGAGAACAAUACAUCCUUACUGGGGACCAGUGGAAAUGAUAUAUACAAUGGAUUGCAUGACCUGGAUUAUUGGGCUCAGAUGACUGAAGGUGAAUUUGAUACCAUUGGCAUGCAGGAAGAUGGCCAUCUUAUGAACCAAAUGCCUCUACAAAAUGAUGUAGCAUAUAUAGAGCUGAAUGAUCUUAUAGCUCCACUGGAUUUCUGUCCUGAUGUUAAUGCAACUGAAGAAAUAUCGAUGGGGAACUUAUUUGUGCCAUACUGCCCUGGUAAUAUGGAUUAUGUCGGCUUUAGAGGCGGUUUUUCUGGUAUAAAUCCGUAUGCUUCUGGUCUGAAUCAGCAUCCUGUGAUGCCUGCAGGAUCUAACAGACAAGAGGGUUGUUUGGAUGUGCUUCAGACGGUGAACAGCGAUGAGGUUAAUGCAAACCUGGGAAAUAAUUCUGCACAAGUCUUAGAUUUCACUUUUACCCAACCAACAGAGGUUGGGGAUUUCCCAAAAUCCCUGAAAAGAGGUAGACUUGACGAUAUCUGAUGACAUUUCUGGUCGUUGGGACAAACGUUCACAUUCUACUUAUUGUUUCUUCAGUCAAAUGAAUACGAGGGAGAAUUGUGAAAAAUUCGAGCCCAUGUGUAACGUGCAUUGUCUGAAAUUGGGGUAUCCUGUUUAGAAUAUAGCACACCUUUCAGAAAUGGUGUGCAAUAAGGCAUGGAUUUACUGACGUUUUGUUGUACCCAAGUCUAGUUGAGUCUGUAUUUUUGGUGGUCAUUUCACAUGUAGUUCACGAUACCGUGUAGAUUGCAGCAUCUCUGAUGAGGUUGCAUUAACCUCUUACUUAGAGACAAUUGGUGCUAAGGAAAAAAGAAGAUAAUAUUAUCUUUACACACUAACAUUAUUCAAGUCCAUCCCCACUCAUCCAGCAUGCCUUUUCAAUUCUCCGUUUGGUGGCUCUAUACAAGUCAAGGAUUACCUGCGCUGAGGAUGCUUUGUUAAUUAUGUUACAUGAUUCAACUUAUCUUGCUGUUGGCAGAACCUGCUUACACCAUACCUAAAGCAGCAGAGGCAGCCUGUGGCACAUUUGGGAAGAGAGAUGCAAUUGUUGAGUCGUCAAUGUUGAACUACAUCGUCUAAAUGUUUAUCAUGUGAUAUUUUAAUUCAAUGCACUUGAUAUCACUGUGAAUCAUCUCAUCUAAAAGUUUAAGUUAUUAUAUGCUAAAGAUGUCUAUUCUAUCUGUCCUAAA